GGAAGGAGCCCGGGAGCCACCGCGGCCUGUGUGCCUGGUGGCGAUGGGAAAGGGAACAAAGCCUCUGUGGUGGUGCAGGAGGAAGCCUGAGUUCUCACCGUUGUCCAUAGAUCCCCGUUUCUUCUCUGCAACUGAAUGAGUCUGGAGGAAAACACACGAUGGGCUGAGCAGUCUCAUCUUAAAUCCAUGUCCACUAAGCUCAAGAGGCCCCGUGGCAUUCCAGGGACGAGCACGUGACUCGAGAAGAGCUAAUCAGAGUCCUCCCAUAAGAUUUUUCAUCUGUGAAUGCUGGUGAGAAGAAGAUGCUUCUCUUUCCUCUGGAGUCCAGAAUGAUGCAAGCCUGGAACUUGGUGUGGCCAUGACAUCUAUCUUCAGGGAACAGAAAGAUCUUGGGAAGAGGAGAGACACCAGGAGACAGGUGUAUGAAGACACGGGAAAGGAAGAGCGCCGCGUGACUGAAGAUGAAGGCAGAAGCUGGAGUGAGGAUCUUAAGGCAAGGCCAGCAACCGGCAGGAGCUGGGAGGGGUGAGGAAGCGCUCUCCUCCAGAGCUUUCAGAGGCAGCAUGGCCCUGUGGACACCUUGAUUUCAGAGUUCCAGCCUCCAGAGCUGUGAGACAAUAAAUUCCUGUUGUUUUUAGCCACCCACUUUGUG
Long non-coding RNA from Marmota monax (woodchuck), 652 nucleotides. RefSeq lists it as uncharacterized. Lineage: Eukaryota; Metazoa; Chordata; Mammalia; Rodentia; Sciuridae. The record is from RefSeq and is a predicted model, not a curated record. The transcript is spliced from 4 exons.